Molecule: long non-coding RNA, 476 nt
Filed under: Gallus gallus (chicken)
Lineage: Eukaryota; Metazoa; Chordata; Aves; Galliformes; Phasianidae
Source: RNAcentral
GGGAAAGGGAGAAGGAAUAUGAUAAAAAGUAAAAGGAAGUGUCUGUAUCCGAGCAGACAGUAGUAAUGUGGGCUCCACAAAAUAUUCUAUGCCUUGUCUCUGGUAGGUCAAAUCCUUCAAUACAUUCAGAAGAUAUACGCUAUAUUAGAGGGUACCUUAAGCUCCUAAGAACAAAGCGUACCUGAGAAAUGCGGGGGAACUUCCUACAGGAGAAGUCUGUGAAUCCCAAGUCGUGGAAGCCUGCUGGAAUUGAAGGGUUGUUCUGAAUGAAAGGCUUUCCAGUGGGAUCUCUGGGAAGCUGCUUAUGGAUAACUGCAUUAUGACGCAGUAAGCCCCGAUGAGUACGAAAGGUAAUACAACAGAUGUCACACCUCAGUGAGUUAUCUGGAUGUGUCUCCAUGUGGGACUCCAGCGCAUACUUGCAAAAAAAGUCUUUGAAACAUACUGGACAAUGGUAAGCGUCAUCUUCUUUCCUA